UGCGUGUGUGUGUGUGAAUGAGUAUGAAUGUGUGUGGAUAAAUGUGUGAGCAUGAAUGGGUAUGUAAGUGUGACUGUGUGUGUGUGUGUGUGUGGAUGUGUGUGUGUGUGGAGCCCCUUGUACAGGCACAGUUAGGAUAUGUCAGCCAAGGAUGCAGCUGGGAUGCCUUCACGUGGUGACAUCCCUGUUCAGGUGACACUGCAGUGCACGGUUACCACAUGGCUGGACUCCUGAACACUCAGCCAUCCUGCUCUGGGGCAAUCUUCCUAUAGCCUCGAGCUCCCUGCCCCAAGAGUGGUCCUGAGGCUCCUUGGUCUGGGGGUGGGCACAGGACAGUGGAGUCACUCUGGCUCUAGCGCUGGAAGGAGGGGAGGCAGGAGGGGAUGGCUGCUCUGCUCAGACCCUGCCCAUCCCUCAGCCCCACAUGUGCACACCUCACAGACUCCAGCCCACAGACCCCUGACC
RNAcentral lists this long non-coding RNA (465 nucleotides) under Homo sapiens (human). RNAcentral describes it as "HSALNT0405124". Lineage: Eukaryota; Metazoa; Chordata; Mammalia; Primates; Hominidae. The record is from RNAcentral.